RNAcentral lists this ribosomal RNA (521 nucleotides) under uncultured Porphyromonadaceae bacterium. RNAcentral's name for it is "partial 16S ribosomal RNA". Lineage: Bacteria; Pseudomonadati; Bacteroidota; Bacteroidia; Bacteroidales; Porphyromonadaceae. The record is from RNAcentral.
CACGGAGUUAGCCGAUGCUUUUUCUCCGGGUACUCUCCAAACCGCACACGUGCGGCACUUUGCUCCCCGGCAAAAGAGGUUUACAACCCAUAGGGCCGUCAUCCCUCACGCGACUUGGCUGGUUCAAGCUCCCGCCCAUUGACCAAUAUUCCUCACUGCUGCCUCCCGUAGGAGUCUGGUCCGUGUCUCAGUACCAGUGUGGGGGACCUUCCCUCAGAACCCCUACGCAUCGUCGUCUUGGUGGUCCGUUACACCGCCAACUAACUAAUGCGACGCAUGCCCAUCCGCCACCGGAAUUAACCUUUGGCACCAACAGGAUGUCCCGUCGAUGCAUUAUGCCGUAUUAGACGGGUAUUUCUCCCGAUUAUCCGGCUGUGGCAGGCAGGUUGCAUACGUGUUACUCACCCGUGCGCCGGUCGCCGGCUGGUGAAGGCAAGCCUUCACCACCGCUCGCCCCUCGACUUGCUAUCGUGUUAACGCCUGUCGCUAGCCGUUCAUCCGUGACGCCAGGACUACGUAAA